This 303-nucleotide signal recognition particle RNA is filed under the name Callithrix jacchus (white-tufted-ear marmoset). RNAcentral describes it as "Metazoan signal recognition particle RNA (ENSCJAG00000062656.2)". It matches the Rfam family "Metazoan signal recognition particle RNA". From Rfam's summary of the family: The signal recognition particle (SRP) is a universally conserved ribonucleoprotein. The record is from Rfam by way of RNAcentral. Lineage: Eukaryota; Metazoa; Chordata; Mammalia; Primates; Cebidae.
GCUGGGCAUGGUGGUGCGCGCCUGUAGUCCCAGCUACUUGGGAGGCUGAGGCAGGAGAAUUGCUUGAACCCAGGAGGCGGAGGUUGCGGUGAGCCUAGAUCGUGCCAUUGCACUCCAGUCUGGGUAACAACAGCGAAAACUCCGUCUAAAAAAAAAAAAAAAAGCAAGACUCCGUCUCAAAAAAAAAAAAAAGUUUUUUUUUUGAGACGGAGUCUUGCUCUGUUGCCCAGGCUGGAGUACAGUGGCACAAUCUCGGCUCACUGCAACCUCUGCCUCCCGGGUUCAAGCAAUUCCCUGCCUCAG